Rhipicephalus microplus (southern cattle tick) is the source of this 3707-nucleotide non-coding RNA. NCBI's taxonomy places the organism in Eukaryota, Metazoa, Arthropoda, Arachnida, Ixodida, Ixodidae. The record is from RefSeq and is a predicted model, not a curated record.
UUGAAGCGAAGGGGGCGGUUUGCUUCUUUCGUUCACCGCCGUAACGCAACUGCAGGAACGGAUCAAACAUUCGUCCGGCAGCCGCGGGAGAAACAGAUUCCCCGAUGCCGGGCGUCUUUUGUUUCUUCCUGAUAACAGGGUAGCUUGCUGUUCAACUCCCCCUUUCUACCUCCCCCCCAGAUACACGGCCCAGCUGAGAUUGCAUCCGGUCCCGUCGAACGCAGCGAGAUAUCGCCGCAGCUGUAGGCAAGCCAGUCGGUGGCUGUCAUUGUGGUGCCUUACGGUGUGGCGAACGCGUGCACUGGAAAUGCGUAGACCUGCUUCGGAAGGACAUCGCAGCGGAGCGCUUGCGGAAUCGAAUCUUUGACCUGCUGGGUGCAACUUGGCGGAACGUGGCCUUGGUGUGUUCAACGCUUGACAAGGAACUUUCGCCGGCCGGCGGAAUGAGUGAUUGUGGAAAACCUGUCAAACGAGUUCGUUACUUCGUUGCGUAUCCCGCUUGUGUAGAUAGCACUUGCGCACGCAAUUAAAGCGUACACCGGUGUAUGCCGGUUCGGCCAAGAAACUCCAGCAAGUCCCAAGUUGAAAGAUGGUCUGACUGUGGCUCUACAUUUCGUACCGAGUGCAGUUGCCUUUGGCGCGUCUAGAAUCGCGGGAACAACACGGUCGACUCGGUUUCCGAUAGGGUUGUUGGAUUUUCUAAACGCUCAUUCAUAACCGGUGUACUCGAAUCGUCUUCUGCGGCCGAUCGUUCAUGCAAAGACGCACCGGAACAGCUUCAGCGGUUUUGAACAUCGCGAUUUGCUAGACGACUUCCAGACAUACGAGCAGUGGCUUUCAGAAGAAGACUUCGUCGUCUCGCAGCAGACGACAUUCCGCAAGUGCUGCAGUAAUUUCCACGUGACUUGCUGAUCCAGACGACACUUGCGCAGGACACGACGGACAGGUCUGAACGCUAUAGCUACCCAAGGGAUUUUUAAGUGUUCUAGAUAAAUGAAAGAACUACCCACGUCCGGUCAGAGCAUGGAUUCUAAGGAGGCGGCGUUCUGGAGCAGCUACACGGCCGUGGCAACGCCCAACAUCCAGGAGGAGAUCCUCGUCCAACAUUCGGCGCCCAGUAGGGCUUGGUUCAGCAAGACCGAUUCCACCAGUGUGCCUCCAAUCACCAGGAAGCAGUGGCUCAUCAUCGUGCUCAUCUACUCUGGCAACUUCUGCGCCGCCAUGAGCUUUUCGCUGCAGGCGCCGUUCUUCCCGAAGCAGGCAACCGAAAAAGGCGCCUCCCCGACGGAGUACGGGCUCAUUUUUUCAUCCUUCUACUUCACCAUCUUCCUCAUCGCUCCCGCUUACGGAAAACUGGUAGCCAUAGUGAAACCUAACAUCAUGCUGAAUGGAGGAUUUAGUCUUACCUGCCUCUGCGUCGUUCUCUUCGGGUGAGUAUAAACUUUCGUCAACCACGCUCCAGCCGGGGCCACGUUUGUGUCCCUGGCGUUCCUCAUCCGCAUCAUGGAGGGUCUGGGUGCGGCUGCCUACAUCACGGCCAGUGCCUACCAUUAUCAUGUCCGAGUUCCCGGGCCGCAUCGGCACUGUCCUGUCAUCACUGAAGACCGCCUUCAGCGUUGGUGUCAUCAUCGGGCCAACCGUUGGUGGAAUCCUUUUCGAUGUGAUGGGUGGCUUCACGACACCAUUUGUCGUCUGUGGUAGCAUCGGGUUCUUCUGUAAUGCGGUGACAUACAUUGUUAUUCCCAGCAUAGAGGACAAGCAUGAGAGCACCCCGACCGACCUGCGCAAGUUCUGGAGCGGGCCCCUGAUCUACAUGUACGCGGUGGCCAUCUUCGGGAGCUAUGUCUGUGUCGGCUUCAACCAGGCGACGCUUCAACCUCACCUGGAGCCCUUCAAGCUUUCCACGACAGUGCUGGGACUCGUCUUUAUGAUUCCCGGCAUCUGCAACGGUCUCAUGACUCCCGUGUGGGGCUGGCUGUGUGACAAGAAGGUGAACACGAAACUCCUGACGUCUCUCGGCGCGUACUUCACACUGUUGUAUCUGCUGCUGGUCGGUCCGGUGCCCUUCUUUCCAUUUGAAACCAAGCUUUGGCUGGUCCUGGUGUCCAUGGCCUUCUUUGGCAUCGGAAUCGGUGGAGCCUCCAUCUGUGCAUUCAUCGCGACCCUCGAGUACACGCUGAACCGGGGUUUCGAGCGUAGCAUCGCCACCAACGGCUUGGUUUCUUCCAUGUUCACCCUGUGCCAGUCUAUAGGGUCCUUCACUGGCCCUGCUCUCGGAGGCGUCCUGCUGCAGCACGUGGGCUACGCCUGGGGCACCGUUGUGCUGUUCAGCUUUCAAGCCAUCGUGGCCGUUCUGGUGACUACCGUCUAUCUUCGUGAAGUGUGCUGCUCCAGUUCCACCAUCAUCCGAUCGAAUACGCACGGGCGGCUGCUGGACGCCGACACUGCCACGAACUCGUCCAGCUGCGAGUUUACGACCGUUUCGGGCCGCGUGCAUAAGGCGCAGCAAUAUGGCACCUGCAACGGAGACGGCCUGUCAUAACGACCCCUUGCAUCUGCAUUUCCCCACUAGAGGUCGAUGCUGUCUUCGUCAUGUGAUACAUGUGUCCACGCUGGCGAUAUGUAUCGCAAGUUGUAGAGAGGCCGUUUGCUCUCCAAUCAUCUGACUCAUGAGAUCUAAUUCCAUAUAGUGGACCACUGUGUGUAGGGAUGAUCUAGGAGUUGAAGCAGCUAGGCCUAAUGAAGAGUUUUAAUGCCGGCGACCCCCAAACCGCUUGUGCACACUCGUUGUUGUGUUCCUUUAUGCUCCCGGCCGCAUCCAACGAGAAUGCAGAGACAUGAGGGCUUGCGUACACAAGCCUCUCUGGUGGGGCCGUGGCGCUCAAACUUAUAGCGAGUUUUGCAUGCGUAGCGAUCGCAACAGCGUUGCAUAAGAAUGCUGCAUUGACGAACUCCACAUCGUCACGUAUGCUACGGAUGCAGUACUGAAUCAUGAAUUACUUUCCGUGAAGAUAAAAAUGUCAAGCUGCAUUCCGGUGAGCGAUUAUCUUCAGAUCGCGACAGCUAACCCUUGGUCUAUAUGAACAACAGCUGGCGCAAUUACUCUUGCAGUUGCGUCCUUCAAAAUACACCGUUUCUGGUGUUUAUUGCGUUGAAACGUGGGCGUUUUAAGAUACACUCUCUGUGCUGCCGAGUUCAAGACGCAGCAGGAAUGUGCGUUCACUCGAAUAUUUAUUAUUCAGCUAGUGCGCACCAGAGAAUAGAAUAGCGAGGAAAAUCUAAACAAUUUGCCGGUUCAACCGCAUGAUCACGGCCACCUGGGUCAUCUGUAGCAGCUGCAAGCCUUUUGCAUGUAUUUCUUGUUUUGUUUUUAAUUUUAAGUUUUCAAUACAUUUCAACAAAGCUGCCCCACUUUUAAAACUUUUGGGGGUUGUUACAAACUUGCGGAGCAAGUUAUUGCAUAUUUUCAGCAUUUGAAGCCGUGUACAACCCUCCUGAAACUUCUCGUAUGCUAUUCAAAUAAUUCCGAGUGCUUCAGUAAGACUACUGCUGAAGUAUGGGACAAACACGUUCUUUAAGAAAAUAUAUGGAAUAUUGGAGUGUCAUGCGGAAUGUUUUACUAGGGGAAACAUGGCGGCCACCAAACUGCCAGUGCUAUGCAAUCGAGUUACUUGUUUUCAAAUAAAAUUGUUUGUGAUAACCCGAGC